This 212-nucleotide long non-coding RNA is filed under the name Mytilus galloprovincialis (Mediterranean mussel). The record is from RNAcentral. Lineage: Eukaryota; Metazoa; Mollusca; Bivalvia; Mytilida; Mytilidae.
AAAGAAUAAUGAGUAAGAUAAAUAAAAUGUAGAAAAAAAUGACAUAACAAUUUAAAGAAUACAGAAAUAAACAAUACCUCCAAUCCUGACCCUCAUGGAAUACACGAGAAUCUGGAUGGAAACGCAGAAUAUAGAAUAAUAUAUAAGGACAGUAGAGAGUGAUACAUUGCUAAAAACGAGAGAAAAACAAUACUUGUUUAAGAAUACACACA